AUGAAGCUUUCCACUACUCAUAACCCACACUCCUGUCGUCGCCUCUCUCCUCGUGCCGCGCUGCCAGGUCUGGCCUCCUCGUGCACCCACCCCGACAUUGAGGCUCACGUAUUUUGGUGGUAUUACAAGAGCUCACAUCGGGAGUCUUCGCCAAUAAAGCCAUGGCCAACCAUCCUCUGGUUGGAGGGCGGUCCGGGGAUCAGGCCGCUGGAUGUCAACCUGAAGCCAUGCAAAUCAACAUGGCUGCAGAAGGCUGAUCUCAUAUUUGUGUACUUACCGGUGGGUGUCAGGUAUAGCUACGCGGAGGACCCAAGCGUGCUAACUACGACGGUCGUGCAAGUGGUUGCUGACGCCACCAAGCUCCUCAAGGCACUCACAAGGAGAUGCCUACCUUGCACAAAAGCCAAUUAUUCCUUGUCGGCGAAUCUUAUGGUGGCAAGCUUGCAACAACAUCGGCGUCUCGGUGGUAGAGGCCAUCCAUGGAUUUGCCAAAUUUUAGGUAUGGCAGCUACCAAACCUUGCCAUAUAGCUGGAUCCGCCCCCGGAGGUUCACGCAUUUUGGUGGUAUUACAAGAGAUCACAUCGAGUGUCUUCGCCAAUAAAGCCAUGGCCAACCAUCCUCUGGGAGGGCCGGGCGUUGGGGGUGGCAACUUCCAGGGGAUCAUGCCGCUGGAUGUCAACCUGAAGCCACACAACUUGACAUGGCUGCAGAAGGCUGAUCUCAUCUUUGUGGAGCAGCAGAGGUGCUGCAGAGGUCCCCGGCUCCACCUGAAGGCUCCAAGCGAACGAGCGGACGAGGUUGGCUCUCCUGGACAACACGAGCGGUCGGAGCGACGCCAGUGGCCGCGGUGGCGAUGGAGGAAGGCGGCGAUUCCGCUUGGUGCGGCGGAUCUGGAGAAGGGAGGCGAGCACGCUUCUUGUCCCAUCGCGCCGCCACCCGCUCAAUCCCCAUCAGGAUCACCCACAGCCAACCACCAUCCUCCCGUGCCUCCCUCGUUUUCCUCGGCGCCGCCUCCACACCGAUCCUCUUCCUUGGGAUCCAUCCCCGUCCAACCAUCACCCGGCCUCUGCUCGAUCCACCCAUCUAGCCUCGAGCCUCCUCUGCUUCACGCCUCCCGAGUAGCAACCAGGAGCCCGAGCUCCAUCUGCCACGCCCGCGACUUGCGCUAUCCCCGACCACCUCGUCCUUGGUGCUGCCUCCAGGAACCACCCGAGGAAAGAGCCUCGCACUCGUGUGCGAGCACACACAUGAGUUUCUGCGCCCGCGCCUCGACCCCGCCGCCACUCCCUCAACCGGACAUCGCCGCCGGCGACCAGCACUCCCAGGCCGGCCUCGCCUCCCUUCUCCUCCUGUCCCCUUCAUCCCUUGGUUCCUCUUCUCUUUCUCACUCUAGUAUCUCCCGCCCUCUUUGUUCUCACAGGAGAACGCCAUGGAAGCUGCAAGUAGCUCAAGCCCGCCGCCGGCCGCCCGCGACCGCCUCCUCCGCAUCUGCAUCGCCUCCCCGGAGCUCCGUACGUGUCGCUGCCGUCGACUCCGUGCAGCAGCCCAAGCGCUGUUCCGCGCCAUGCUGCCUCCUUCUGUCGGGAGCAGACAAAGGAAGCCGCCUCUACCGCGUCGUCCGCGCCCUUCCCCGCCUUAGAUCCGGCUGGAUCCACCUCCUCCUCCAGGCACGGCCCGUCCUGGCCUCCUCCGCCGUGCCCGCUGCUGCAAGUCCGUCGCCGCGCCACAUCUCCUCUGCAACAAGCGGCAGCUGCAACCGCUGCAACUGCCCCACGCCGUUGACUGCAUCGCCCCAAACCGGCCUCCUCUUCGCCGUUUCCCGCUCCUCCGGCCACCUCCCAUUUCACCGUCCCUGGCGCCGUCUGCAGCUGCGCCAAUGGGCUACAUGCAAAUUUUGGCCCAGAAUCGUUUUUAGCUCAAUUGGAAUGGGCCCCAAGAAUGUUGGCAUGUUGGGCUCCUACGAAGCUUUUGGCCGAAUACAUUACUAA
This 1989-nucleotide ribosomal RNA is filed under the name Triticum aestivum (bread wheat). RNAcentral's name for it is "partial small subunit ribosomal RNA". Lineage: Eukaryota; Viridiplantae; Streptophyta; Magnoliopsida; Poales; Poaceae. The record is from RNAcentral.